CUGGGGCUAUUUCUUCUCAAUUCAAUCAUGGGUUGGGUUGAUGGUUAAUAACCCUGAAAUAUAAGGUCUUUUGUCAGUCUGGCAUCAAUGAUGAGUGGUGUGACAAGGCUUGGUGUAUCACUGAUAAUUGCUUAGAAAUGACUCCACACUACCCAGUUUUUUGGUGUAUUUUUCAACAGUAUUGCAUAAAAAAGUCUUUAGCAACCACUGGUACAUGCUUCUGAGAAGCAUUUGACCACAGAAUAUCUUAGAUUCAAAACACAUUGCUUUGUGGGAAGAAAGGCACCACCCAGCACACACACCCAUCCUAAUUUUGAAUGGACUUAAUUUCUGAAUUCUAGACACUGCCUCACAAUGAUAUAAAAACAACAAGAGCCUCAUUAAAACCCCAGAGGCUGAGCCCACAAACAGGAAUUCAUAGAGUCUCUAAGAGAAAGAUAUCUGGGCAACAUUUCUACAUUUUGAGCUGUCUGGCUGGUUGAGACAGACGAUCUGAUGGCUAGAAUGAUUUGCAAAAAAUUCAACACUGACCAAUCAGAGCAGACAGUCUAAAUAAACACCGAUUCUUACAAGGCUACCUUCCUUACCAGUUAAAUAUCAGUCCUGCCUCAGAGAAAGAGAAGAUCUAAAGAGGAAAAUCUACACAAGAUUGUGUGUGGGCCAGAAAGGCCGCCGUGAAUGGUGAGAAGGUGAGUCAAUCCAUCCAUCCUAAGUCAAAGAAUCCAACCAGUUCCGUGGAGGAGGCACAGAGGAAAAGAGGAAGGAACAAAGUGGAAGAAGAAGAGAAUGAAGAGGUGGGAAGAGAUGGGCAAGGAUGAGAGAGCAGAAGCCAAUCAAGAGAAGAAGGAAAAGCAAACAGAAGAGAGUAGAAAGGAAUGGGGGCCAGAAACAAGCAGGAAUCAUGAAGAGUGGGGAAAGGAGAGACUCUGGAAAUUCAAACAAGUAGAGGAGUGAAAAAAAUAGUGAUGAAAGGCCAGAUCCAGUGUGCUGAAAUAUCUGCCAAGCAUGUCAUUCUACACAAAAGGGAUUUGCAAAUAGCCAGUAGUUGGCGUGAAGAAAGGACAUGUGAAAGCGCUGGGUGUGGAAUUUCCCAUCCUCGGCCGGAGGUCUACUACAGCUCGCUGUUUGCAGAUCUGGGCUGAGCUAUGCAUCACAUUGUUCAUGAAAGAAAAAGCAACUGUUCUCCCCAGUGCCCCUUCCCCGCUCCACAUGGCUGCGAUCAGCAGCCCCAAGACCCUAAUUGCCACAGCCUAUUAGAAAUAAUGAGACUUACAUGGCAGAAGCCAAGGGUAAAAGCGACAUCUCGCAACACGAAAGGUUAAUAUCAACAUAUACGGCUAGUGAGUGCAAAGGGCACCUCAGUUGGUGGCUCAUUAUGGCGGGUUGACCCACAGGGAAAGUGUCAUUCUGCAGAGAGGCUUUCUCAGGAUGUGGCAGCAAAAGUUACAAAAGAUAAGGACUUGCUUGUGAAACGCACUCAACUAAUGAGAGCUGAAGAUUGUUUGAAAUAUCCCGAUGACCUCACAGAUGGGGGAUGCUGAUUAAGAUGGCUACAGGAGGCUCCUUUCUUGUCUGACAGCCCAUUGAGAAGCUUUGGUGAGAUGUGACUAACAGGCCGUGAAGGUGUCUCCAUCUUCUCUGACAUGGUCCAUGCUUUGGGCAAAACAAACAUGAAAAAUAAGUCUGAACUGACACACAUGUUUGAAUUUAGUUUUCAGAGCCAUAUUUGGGGGAAGGAGCACUGGUGGGGCCGUCAGCGAUGAUUCCUUUAUGGUAAAGGGUGUUCGUGACUACUUGCGUGACUAAUCGCAUGACUGCGCUGGGGGUGAGCCAACGGCAAAUUGAGGUCUUGAACACUUGACAAAACAACCCCUGUUCUGUGGGUGAAAUUCUAUAGAGCUUCAUGUGUAAUUAAAUGAAAGUUUCACAAGAGUCUACACCUCAAUCAUUUAAUGCCGAUAUGUAGCACAAAGGAAGGAUUUUUGCCACAUCAAAAUACAUCCAUGAAACAAUGGAGAAAUGUCCCAAGUUUUCAGAGUCAGAGAUACUCACAGAAGAAACCCUGGAGUUCUCUUGACUUCAUUUAGUGCCUGGGACUCUGAAAAGAGAUCACCAUUAUGCUCUCCUCUACCUCAUACUAGAGGUGAGGAUGAGAGCGCACCUCAUACUGCGUAUCUUAAUUCCUCUCCCAGGAAAACUGGAAGGAACACCUAUCCGAUUGCCAUGUCGCUAAAACAAAAAUCACUCAUGUCUUGCAAAAACAGUUCAGAUCUUUCUAUUUAAAGAGCUUAUCACUAUAUUAAACAAGGUUAUACUGGAGUUUUGUCAUGAGAUUUAGGAACAUUUCUUUCAAGUCUUUCUAACUAGCUGUUUUAGUUAUUGAUUGCUGAAUAACAAAUUAACUCAAAAAUUAGUGACAACACAGAAAAUAAAAUUACAUAAAGAUUUUUAUAAUGAGAUUUAAGAAAGAUUUUUCAAGGUUUUCUAACUAGCUGUACUAGUUAAUUAAUUGCUUUAUAACAAAUUGCCACAAAAUAUGGUGGCAUCAAUGACAAUAAACAUUUAUUAUCUCAUAUAGUUUCUGUAGGCAGCCUCAUAAAGUUGCAGUGCAGAUGUUGACCAAAGCUGUGAUGUCAUGUGAAGGUUUGUCUGGAGCUGGAUGAUUCCUCUCAAUUUGGUUUGCUCACAUGUCUGGCAAAUUACUGUUAGUUUUAUUCAGGAGGCCUCUGUUGCCACAUCAGCUUCUCUAUAGAGCUGCCUGCACGUCCUCACGACAUGGGAGCUAGCUUCCCCUACAGCAAUAAUCCAAGAGAAAAAAAAAGCCACAAAUUCUUUUUUAACCUAGUGUCCAAGGUCAUGCCCCACCAUCUCCACAAUAUCCUAGUGGUCACACAGGUCAGCUCUAUUCAGUGUGGGAGGGGAAUACACACAGGCACGAAUACCAGGAGGCAAGAAUCUCUGGGAGCCAUCUUGCAGGCUGGCUAUCACAUUUAUUAAAAGUAUUUCUUAAAGUAUCUUCACCUGACCAAAAAAUAUAAAAACUAUGAUCAUCGAUGUGGUCGGCAAAAAGUCUGCAAGUGAGACAAAAUCAAGGAACUCUAUGGUACACUUUGUAAAGAACGUAUAUUCCAUUUGACUGAAAAUAUUUCCUUGUACUAACUGAUACGUGUUUACAUGUGGCACCUGUAAGACCAAAGUGAAGACAUGAAUUAAGAGAUUACUCAAGAGAAAUUGAUUUUAGUAGAUAAACAAGGUUUUUUGAAACAAUUUGCUCCCUUUUGAUCUCAAGAGCAGGAUUUUUGGCCUAAAGCAUCUAGAAAACUGCAGUCUUCUUUUUCAGUGCAUAUCCAUGGAGUAGUCUACAACCAUUCACCAAUGUGCCAGGCAUAGGGAAUUCAAGAGCAACAAGGUGAAGAAAAUCUUAAUCAGCUGAUUGAGAAUCCAUUUUAUGGAAAGAUCCACCUCUUUGGGGAAAUGGACUUGAUAUUUAGAAACUAAAACAAUAUAAAAAUUUUCAACAAUAGAAGGACAGAAAUAGGAUAUGAAUUAAACAUCAAGCCUGUGGUAAAUUUGCUUUCAGUGAAAAAGACGUAGAAGAGGAAAAAAAUAAAUAAGGAAGAGACGAAAGGAGAAAGAAGUAGCAGUGGACGUAGCUGAGGAGAAUUAUUUCCAACUUUUGAAACCAACAGUUGAACAAUUGAGACUUAUGGUGGUUUAGCACUAAAGUCAAAACAUCUUCUCUCCCAUCCCAACUUCUAUGACCUAAAUAAAUGCAGAGAGAUAGCAUAUUUAUGGAUUACAAAACUCUAUAUUGUUAAAAUGGCAAUGCUGCCCAAAUUCCUCCCAAGAUUCAACUCAAUUCCAAUCAAAAUUUCUAUAAGCAUUCUUAUAAAAAUUGACAAGCUGAUUCUAAUAUUUGUAUGAAAAUUCAAGGAACCUAGAAUAGCCAAAGUAAUUCGAACAAAGAACAUAGUUGAAGGACUUACUCUAUUUGACUUCAGUACUUACUAUAAAGCUAUAGUAAUUCGUUCUGUUUAAUAUUGUGGUAAAGGUAGGCAUAUAGAUCAAUGGAACAGAAUACAGUCCAGAAAUAGACCAGUUGAUUUUUGACAAAUAAGCCAAGGCAACUCAAUGGGGGAAAAUAAAGUCUUUUUAAUAAAUGUCAUUCAAUAAA
Molecule: long non-coding RNA, 4174 nt
Organism: Gorilla gorilla gorilla (western lowland gorilla)
Lineage: Eukaryota; Metazoa; Chordata; Mammalia; Primates; Hominidae
Exons: 2
Source: RefSeq, a predicted model, not a curated record